AUUGAACGCUGGCGGCAGGCCUAACACAUGCAAGUCGAACGGUAACAGGAAGCAGCUUGCUGCUUUGCUGACGAGUGGCGGACGGGUGAGUAAUGUCUGGGAAACUUCCUGAUGGAGGGGGAUAACUACUGGAAACGGUAGCUAAUACCGCAUAACGUCGCAAGACCAAAGAGGGGGACCUUAGGGCCUCUUGCCAUCGGAUGUGCCCAGAUGGGAUUAGCUAGUAGGUGGGGUAACGGCUCACCUAGGCGACGAUCCCUAGCUGGUCUGAGAGGAUGACCAGCCACACUGGAACUGAGACACGGUCCAGACUCCUACGGGAGGCAGCAGUGGGGAAUAUUGCACAAUGGGCGCAAGCCUGAUGCAGCCAUGCCGCGUGUAUGAAGAAGGCCUUCGGGUUGUAAAGUACUUUCAGCGGGGAGGAAGGGAGUAAAGUUAAUACCUUGGCUCAUUGACGUUACCCGCAGAAGAAGCACCGGCUAACUCCGUG
This 490-nucleotide ribosomal RNA is filed under the name uncultured bacterium. RNAcentral's name for it is "partial 16S ribosomal RNA". It matches the Rfam family "Bacterial small subunit ribosomal RNA", at positions 30 to 507 of the family's 1533-position model. The record is from RNAcentral.